CGAACAGCAAAAUCUUACACAUUUUACAAAAUAUGUGUGGGGRUGGGUCUGGAAUAUAUUUGUAUAUCUAUUCGGGUUGCCGCUAGAGGGAGCUGGUAACUGAUACCCARGAGGUUCAUUGAUAAGGUGGUGUUACUUGAUCAUGUAUCAUGGUACCGCUAGAGGGUAAUGUUUCUAACAAUAUCUCAUAUCAAUAUCUACCCUCACAGGGUAUUGUCUGUGUGUCACCAUGGACCUGCCCAUUUAUAGGGGUAAAAAGCAUUACGCUACAUAUGGCGAAAAAUGUUCAAUCCCGUGUCGUGUGACCAGUGUCACACGGAUGACAAUAAACGACCAAGAAAGCUCUUUCUUGGGAGAGGAUUACAUAUUUUCGUCGAGAUUGAAAUCUCUAGCAAUCAAGAAUCCCACCUGCCAGACCACCGGGAUUUAUCGUUUAGACGACUGCACGGUGGACCUCAAAGUGACGUAUAGGACAAUCAAGGUGAAAUUGCCAAGUGUCACCGCUGGGAUCGUGCCAGCGAUGAAUAUCGAGAUAAAGUUAGACAACGUGAAUAGCGUACAAAGUCGGGGUUACGAGCUGUGAGGUCGGAUA
Long non-coding RNA from Salvelinus sp. IW2-2015, 592 nucleotides. RefSeq lists it as uncharacterized. The record is from RefSeq and is a predicted model, not a curated record. NCBI's taxonomy places the organism in Eukaryota, Metazoa, Chordata, Actinopteri, Salmoniformes, Salmonidae.